AUGAGUCGGCCUGAUGGGAUCAACAUCCCCGACGGCAAGUUCUACCUUGGAGAUGCUGGCUAUGCAUGUCGGCCGGGUAUUCUUCCACCCUUCAAGAAAACAAGGUACCAUCUCAAUGAGUUCUCUGGUAGGAACUAUCCUAGGACUGCACAGGAGCUGUUUAAUCUCAGACACUCCAGCCUUAAAGUAAAUGUUGAGAGGGCAUUUGGAGCUCUGAAGAAUAGGUUUAAGAUCCUGGAUCAGAAGCCAUUCCACCCAUACUCCACUCAGGUUAAGCUUGUUCUUGCUUGUUGCAUUCUGCCUAACUGGAUCCUCCAGUGGGGCUUUGAUGAACACGUGCCUGAGGAGGAAGAGGUCGAGCCUGACGAUGUUGUUAGUUCCGGCCAUGGUGUGGAGGCAUUUGACAAUGACGCUUGA
RNAcentral lists this ribosomal RNA (417 nucleotides) under Triticum aestivum (bread wheat). RNAcentral describes it as "partial small subunit ribosomal RNA". The record is from RNAcentral. Lineage: Eukaryota; Viridiplantae; Streptophyta; Magnoliopsida; Poales; Poaceae.